RNAcentral lists this ribosomal RNA (560 nucleotides) under Chloropepla aurea. RNAcentral's name for it is "partial large subunit ribosomal RNA". It matches the Rfam family "Bacterial large subunit ribosomal RNA", at positions 1795 to 2620 of the family's 2925-position model. The record is from RNAcentral. Lineage: Eukaryota; Metazoa; Arthropoda; Insecta; Hemiptera; Pentatomidae.
CCCUUUUUUUUCAAAACAUGUCUUAAUGUUUUUAAUUAUAUUAAGUCUAACCUGCUCAAUGAUUUAUUAUAGUUAAAUAGCCGCAGUAUUUUGACUGUGCGAAGGUAGCAUAAUCAUUUGUCUUUUAAUUGGAGGCUUGAAUGAAUGGUUGGAUGAGGGAGUUUCUUUCUUUAUAUUUAUUAGUGGAAUUUAAUUUUUAGGUUAAAAAGCUUAUAUUUUUAAGUGGGACGAGAAGACCCUAUAGAAUUUUAUUAUUUAUUUGGUUAUUUAUUUUUGGUUAUAUAUUUAAUUAUGACUGAAUUGAUAAUUUUGUUGGGGUGAUAGGAAGAUUUUUAAAACUCUUUUAUUUAUAAAUUAUUGAUUUUUAUAUGAUUGAUCCUUUAUUAAGGAAAACUAGAUUAAAUUACCUUAGGGAUAACAGCGUAAUUUUCCUGGAGAGUUCUUAUUGAUAGGGGAGUUUGCGACCUCGAUGUUGGAUUAAAAUUAGUUUUAAGUGCAGAAGCUUAAUUACUAGGUCUGUUCGACCUUUAAAUUUUUACAUGAUCGGUUUUCCACCCGGA